CCUACGGGUGGCAGCAGUAGGGAAUCUUUCACAAUGGGCGAAAGCCUGAUGGAGCACCGCCGCGUGCAGGAUGAAGGCCUUCGGGUUGUACACUGCUUUUAUAAGCGAGAAAUAUGAUGGUAACUUAUGAAUAAGGAUCGGCUAACUACGUGCCAGCAGCCGCGGUCAUACGUAGGAUCCGAGCAUUAUCCGGAGUGACUGGGUGUAAAGAGUUGCGUAGGUGGCAUAAUAAGUAGCUAGUGAAAUCUGGUGGCUCAACCAUUCAGACUAUUAGCUAAACUGUUAAGCUCGAGACCGUUAGGGGUAACUGGAAUUGCUAGUGUAGGAGUGAAAUCCGUAGAUAUUAGAAGGAACACCAAUAGCGUAGGCAGGUUGCUGGGACGGUUCUGACACUAAGGCACGAAAGCGUAGGGAGCAAACGGGAUUAGAUACCCUUGUAGUC
This 442-nucleotide ribosomal RNA is filed under the name uncultured bacterium. RNAcentral describes it as "partial 16S ribosomal RNA". It matches the Rfam family "Bacterial small subunit ribosomal RNA", at positions 338 to 795 of the family's 1533-position model. The record is from RNAcentral.